Molecule: small RNA, 253 nt
Filed under: Enterococcus rivorum
Lineage: Bacteria; Bacillati; Bacillota; Bacilli; Lactobacillales; Enterococcaceae
Description: Enterococcus sp. HAMBI 3055 Listeria sRNA rli117
Rfam family: Listeria sRNA rli117
Source: Rfam by way of RNAcentral
UGAAGAAAGAAGAAUUUAGAAGAACAGAUUCAAGUGCUAAAGCAAACGGUGGGCAUGUUAGGCUAAAAAAGCUCGAGGAACAAGCCAAAGUGAUAGCUAUUUUGUGAGUUCUUCGGGCACUUAUAAAAGCACAUGCCUACUAAUGAAAGUCAAUGGCGAUGCAAUCGACGAAGUGAAUCAUUGACUUUCAUUAGAGUGUUAUUGGAAUAGUACUAGUCUUCUGGUGAUACUUUUAGUGCAAUAAUACGAUUCA